GGAUGAGCAAUUUAUUCUGAGGGUUCCACCUUCUGUUGCUGAGCGAAUUGACCGUCUUUUAAGUGAAAAUCCUUCUUCAGAAGACAAACUGGACUUGUCUUUUUCUGAGGAUGGAAAGACGGGCAGUUUUGUCAUAGGCGAUGUGCACUUUCCUGCAUCACUUUUGAAUCUUCCUUGCAUAGUGGAGUCGUACAAAACUUAUGAUGACAACGUGCUCAUUAAAUCCGCAGACAUUGGUCAAAUGAUUAUGGUGAGAGAAGAAGGUGAUCCUGUUCCAGAUGUGGUGGAAUAUAGACAUGGCCUCACACCUCCAAUGAGAGAUGCACGAAGACGAAGAUUUCGGAGAGAGCCAGAUCUUAAUCCUGAGCUUGUUCGGCGUGUUGAGAAAGACUUGCAGAACAUAAUGUCUGGUGGAACAGCUGAGAAUAUUGAUAUAGAAGUUGUCGAGCAAGAGGAAGGAGGUGAAGCAAGUGCACGCCAUGUGAACAAGAAAGUGGCACAACCUGCAACAAAGCCUGACAUUUCUGAGCCCGGGACAGCUGGUGAGGAUCCUGAUAGAACUGAAUCUGAGGAUUCUGAUGAUUCAAUAUAGUCGAUGACAUUUUUCAGCCUUUGCUAUUGUUAUAGUGGCUACAAGUCUUUGCUAAUGUUGUAGUGCACUUCUAGUUAAGCGCCUUCAGAAUUUAUUAGAAAUUUUAGCUCUUGUAUUUUAAUACAGUUGGCUUAUCGUGUCUAGGUUUGAAUAUCGCUGUAAUAUAACAGUUUGCAAUGUCUACUUCAGACAUGCUAGCAUGACAAUUGCAAAUUGUGUUCUGUAAAGUGAUGGUCUAUC
This 832-nucleotide unclassified non-coding RNA is filed under the name Hevea brasiliensis (rubber tree). Lineage: Eukaryota; Viridiplantae; Streptophyta; Magnoliopsida; Malpighiales; Euphorbiaceae. The record is from RNAcentral.